This 467-nucleotide ribosomal RNA is filed under the name uncultured bacterium. Its description in RNAcentral is "partial 16S ribosomal RNA". It matches the Rfam family "Bacterial small subunit ribosomal RNA", at positions 28 to 507 of the family's 1533-position model. The record is from RNAcentral.
GACGAACGCUGGCGGCGUGCUUAACACAUGCAAGUCGAACGGAAAGGCCUCAGCUUGCUGGGGUACUCGAGUGGCGAACGGGUGAGUAACACGUGGGUGAUCUGCCUUGCACUCUGGGAUAAGCUUGGGAAACUGGGUCUAAUACCGGAUAUGAACUGCCUUUAGUGUGGUGGUUGGAAAGUUUUUUCGGUGCAAGAUGAGCUCGCGGCCUAUCAGCUUGUUGGUGGGGUAAUGGCCUACCAAGGCGUCGAUGGGUAGCCGGCCUGGGAGGGUGUACGGCCACAAUGGGACUGAGAUACGGCCCAGACUCCUACGGGGGGCAGCAGUGGGGAAUAUUGCACAAUGGGCGGAAGCCUGAUGCAGCGACGCCGCGUGGGGGAUGACGGCCUUCGGGUUGUAAACUCCUUUCGACAGGGACGAAGCUUUUUGUGACGGUACCUGUAUAAGAAGCACCGGCUAACUACGUG